GGGACGGUGGCCAAGUGGUUAAGGCGCGCCGCUCGUAUGUAGUAGCCCCAACAAUUCUUGCUAGGUACUCCUCACGGCGAGAUCGCCGGUUCGACUCCGGCUCGUCCCA
Molecule: transfer RNA, 109 nt
Filed under: Penicillium arizonense
Lineage: Eukaryota; Fungi; Ascomycota; Eurotiomycetes; Eurotiales; Aspergillaceae
Rfam family: tRNA
About the family: Transfer RNA (tRNA) molecules are approximately 80 nucleotides in length.
Source: Rfam by way of RNAcentral